CCUUCGCCAUUAAGGCAUUCCUUAUUGGGGUACCUUAAUGGCGUGGGCCCCACUCGAUUUAAUGGGGAAACGUCCCCAAGACCCUAUAAAAGGGGUCCUUGGGGGACCUCUAUCCUCAACUUAUCCUCUCUUGACUCACACUCCCACUAGAGCAAACCAAGGAGCCCGAAUCGCCUACUCCCACGUGAGUCGCCGAUUCCCCUCCUCUUCUGC
Molecule: long non-coding RNA, 213 nt
Filed under: Zostera marina
Lineage: Eukaryota; Viridiplantae; Streptophyta; Magnoliopsida; Alismatales; Zosteraceae
Description: long non-coding RNA (ZMAR_LNC002169)
Source: RNAcentral